This 495-nucleotide ribosomal RNA is filed under the name uncultured bacterium. Its description in RNAcentral is "partial 16S ribosomal RNA". It matches the Rfam family "Bacterial small subunit ribosomal RNA", at positions 28 to 507 of the family's 1533-position model. The record is from RNAcentral.
GACGAACGCUGGCGGCGUGCCUAAUACAUGCAAGUAGAACGCUGAAGGAGGAGCUUGCUCUUCUGGCUGAGUUGCGAACGGGUGAGUAACGCGUAGGUAACCUGCCUGGUAGCGGGGGAUAACUAUUGGAAACGAUAGCUACUACCGUAUAACAGUAGAUGUUGCAUGACAUUUGCUUAAAAGGUGCAAUUGCAUCACUACCAGAUGGACCUGCGUUGUAUUAGCUAGUUGGUGGGGUAACGGCUCACCAAGGCGACGAUACAUAGCCGACCUGAGAGGGUGAUCGGCCACACUUGGACUGAGACACGGCCCAGACUCCUACGGGAGGCAGCAGGAGGGAAACUUCGGCAAUGGACGGAAGUCUGACCGAGCAACGCCGCGUGAGUGAAGAAGGGUUUCGGAUCGUAAAGCUCUGUUGUAAGAGAAGAACGAGUGUGAGAGUGGAAAGUUCACACUGUGACGGUAUCUUACCAGAAAGGGACGGCUAACUACGUG